UGGCGGACGGGUGAGUAACGCGUGGGUAACCUGCCUCAUACAGGGGGAUAACAGUUAGAAAUGACUGCUAAUACCGCAUAAGACCACAGCACCGCAUGGUGCAGGGGUAAAAACUCCGGUGAUAUGAGAUGGACCCGCGUCUGAUUAGGUAGUUGGUGGGGUAACGGCCUACCAAGCCGACGAUCAGUAGCCGACCUGAGAGGGUGACCGGCCACAUUGGGACUGAGACACGGCCCAA
RNAcentral lists this ribosomal RNA (238 nucleotides) under uncultured bacterium. RNAcentral describes it as "partial 16S ribosomal RNA". It matches the Rfam family "Bacterial small subunit ribosomal RNA", at positions 96 to 334 of the family's 1533-position model. The record is from RNAcentral.